GCCCCAGUAGCCCAAUUGGCAGAGGCAACGGACUCAAAAUCCGUGUGUUGUGGGUUCGAGUCCCACCUGGGGUA
This 74-nucleotide transfer RNA is filed under the name Corynebacterium doosanense CAU 212 = DSM 45436. RNAcentral's name for it is "Corynebacterium sp. CAU 212 tRNA". It matches the Rfam family "tRNA". From Rfam's summary of the family: Transfer RNA (tRNA) molecules are approximately 80 nucleotides in length. Their secondary structure includes four short double-helical elements and three loops (D, anti-codon, and T loops). The record is from Rfam by way of RNAcentral. Lineage: Bacteria; Bacillati; Actinomycetota; Actinomycetes; Mycobacteriales; Corynebacteriaceae.